GAAAGUUGCGGGAAAUAGUUCAAGAGCGACAUUGAGUGGUCAAAGGUUCCAUUGAGUGCUGGGUGAUGGCGUACUUUUUGUAGAACGGGCCGGCGAGUUACGUUAACGAGCGAGGUUAAGGGGAAGACCCGGAGCCGGAGCGAAAGCGAGUCUGAAGAGGGCGACAAGUUCGUUAACGUAGACCCGAAACCGGGUGAUCUACCCAUGGGCAGGGUGAAGCGAGAUUAAACUUUCGUGGAGGCCCGAACCGACCGGCGUUGAAAAGCCGGCGGAUGACCUGUGGGUAGGGGUGAAAUGCCAAUCGAACCCGGAGAUAGCUGGUUCUCCCCGAAAUAGCUUUAGGGCUAGCCUCAAAGGGAGCUUAACGGAGGUAGAGCACUGAUAAGGCUAGGGGCCUUACCAGGUUACCGAACCUUUUCAAACUCCGAAUGCCGUUAAGACAACUUUGGGAGUCAGACUGCGGGUGCAAAGAUUCGUAGUCGAGAGGGAAACAGCCCAGACCAACAGCUAAGGUCCCAAAAGACGGGCUAAGUGGGAAAGGAUGUAGAGUUGCUUAAACAACCAGGAUGUUGGCUUAGAAGCAGCCAUCAUUUAAAGAGUGCGUAAUAGCUCACUGGUCGAGUGACUCUGCGCCGAAAAUGUAGCGGGGCUCAAGCCCGUUACCGAAGCUUUGGGAACUGAGUGCACCACUGGUGCAGCAGUUCGGUAGGGGAGCGUUCUGUAAGCGUCGAAGCUGUACCGUAAGGAGCAGUGGAGCUUACAGAAGAGAGAAUGCCGGCAUAAGUAAGCGAGAAGGCAGGUGAGAAUCCUGCCCGCCGAAAACCUAAGGGUUCCUGGGGAAGGCUCGUCCACCCAGGGUAAGUCGGGACCUAAGCCGAGGCGGAGAGCGUAGGCGAUGGGCAAUCGGUUGAAAUUCCGAUACCACCUGGAGGCCGUUAACAGGAUGGGGUGACGCAGGAGGGUAGACACAGCGCACCGUUGGUUGUGUGCGUCCAAGCCAGUAGGGAGUGAGGCAGGCAAAUCCGUCUCACACACAUCCUGAGAGGUGACGGGGAGCGAAAUUAAAGUAGCGAACUGGUCGAACCCAGACUGCCAAGAAAAGCCUCUAACGAGGACUCCGGGUGCCCGUACCGCAAACCGACACAGGUAGGUGGGGAGAGGAUCCCGAGGCGCGCGAGCGAACCUUCGUUAAGGAACUCGGCAAAAUGACCCCGUAACUUCGGGAGAAGGGGUACCCCGUUAGGGUGAUAGUAAAGACUUACUGGAGCCCGAGGGGGUCGCAGAGAAGUGGCCCAGGCGACUGUUUACCAAAAACACAGGUGCCUGCUAAAGCGGAAGCUGAAGUAUAGGUGCUGACGCCUGCCCGGUGCUGGAAGGUUAAGGGGAAGGGUUAUCCAGCACUCAACUCUGCGUAUUGAAGCAGGAGGUAGCUAUGUGUAUUACGUGUAUGUGUUAAAGAAUGAAGAAGGAGAGCUCUAUAUAGGUCAAACAAGUGACCUCAAGGCUCGACUAAAAGCACAUAACGAAGAGAAGAACCGUUCCACAAGAAGACAUCGAUGGGAAGUAGUAUACUACGAAGCCUAUAAAGCAAAAGAGGAUGCGUUCGAUAGGGAACGGCAACUGAAAAAGCAUGGCCAGGCAAAACGCUGGCUGAAGCAGCGCAUAGCAAGGAGCCUGCAAAGCAGUACGUAGAGUUGAGUGCUGGAGAAGCUCUGAACCGAAGCCCCAGUAAACGGCGGCCGUAACUAUAACGGUCCUAAGGUAGCGAAAUUCCUUGUCGGGUAAGUUCCGACCCGCACGAAAGGCGUAACGAUCUGGGCGCUGUCUCAACGAAGGGCUCGGUGAAAUUGUAGUACCCGUGAAGAUGCGGGUUACCUGCGAUAGGACAGUAAGACCCCGUGGAGCUUUACUGUAGCCUGACAUUGGGUUUUGGUGUUUCAUGUACAGGAUAGGUGGGAGGCAGCGAACCACUGCCGCCAGGUAGUGGGGAGCCGACGGUGGGAUACCACUCUUGAAGCACUGAAAUUCUAACCCGGGGCCGUGAACCGGUCUGGGGACAGUGUCAGGUGGGCAGUUUGACUGGGGCGGUCGCCUCCUAAAAGGUAACGGAGGCGCCCAAAGGUUCCCUCAGCGCGGAUGGAAAUCGCGCGUAGAGUGCAAAGGCAGAAGGGAGCUUGACUGCGAGACCGACGGGUCGAGCAGGGACGAAAGUCGGGCUUAGUGAUCCGGUGGUCCCGAGUGGAAGGGCCAUCGCUCAACGGAUAAAAGCUACCCCGGGGAUAACAGGCUUAUCCCGCCCAAGAGUCCACAUCGACGGCGGGGUUUGGCACCUCGAUGUCGGCUCAUCGCAUCCUGGGGCUGAAGUAGGUCCCAAGGGUUGGGCUGUUCGCCCAUUAAAGCGGUACGUGAGCUGGGUUCAGAACGUCGUGAGACAGUUCGGUCCCUAUCCAUCGCAGGCGGAGGAAACUUGAGAGGAGCUGUCCCUAGUACGAGAGGACCGGGAUGGACAGACCGCUGGUGUACCAGCUGUCCCGCCAGGGGCACCGCUGGGUAGCCAAGUCUGGAAGGGAUAAGCGCUGAAAGCAUCUAAGCGCGAAGCCCACCUCAAGAUGAGGUUUCCCAUGGCAUAAGCCAGUAAGACCCCUGGAAGACUACCAGGUAGAUAGGCCGGGAGUGUAAGGGGGGUAACCCCUUGAGCGGACCGGUACUAAUCGGUCGAGGGCUUGACCAU
Molecule: ribosomal RNA, 2731 nt
Filed under: Moorella mulderi DSM 14980
Lineage: Bacteria; Bacillati; Bacillota; Clostridia; Neomoorellales; Neomoorellaceae
Description: bacterial LSU rRNA
Rfam family: Bacterial large subunit ribosomal RNA
Source: RNAcentral